UCUCAACUCUUUGAUCUCUUGUUUAUGAACUCUCUCUGUCCCUGAACUCUCUUGUUUAUGAGCCACCACCACCACCUCCAUGUUUCCAUCUCCACUACCGCCUAAACCCACCACCGCCUAAAACUACUUCUCUCAGUUGCUCAAAUCCGGGGGCCACCAAGCUCCACUUCACCGAUAACCACAAGAACCCGUUCAUUUAAAUCAGAUCUGUACAAUCACAUUUGAAUUAGAUCCGUAAAAACGCUUUUGAAUCACUGGCCUCACAUCGCAUUUGAAUCAGAUCUGUGAAAUCACAUAUCAUUUAGGUGGGUGAGAGAGAACGUGGAGGUGGUCAGAGGUUGGGAGAAGAUGCGGCGGUGGGGUGGUUGUAGAUCCGGUGGAAGGGGUGGUUGUAGAUUAACUGCUGGUGGGGGUCUGCGAUCGAUUAACUAGUUAACCUCCAUUGAAACAACAAAUCUCUGAUUGCAAUUCUACUAAUAAAGAUCAUCAAACAGAGAUACACUUAUUGAAGCUUUUUAUCGAAGGCUUUUUAUCCAAACCUGCAACUUCUGCGAGUAUAGAUUAAUGGCGCCAUAUGUGACCUAACAGAGUGAUUGAUUAACAGAAAACCCUAGGUUCGGUUAUGGAUGAUGAAAUUGAUACCGACAAACGGUUAGUAGGGUCAGAAGUGAUGACAAGAUCUCGGAAAGGAUUUAAUGGCGGUGGUGAAAAAGCUGCAAUGAAUUAAUGUCUGCAAACUUAAAUCGAUUUCAUAUUAAUCAAGAUCUUGAUCUGGAGUGAUAGGAUGAAUUUGAAAGGGGGAGAAAUGGGUCAAGAUGAAGAUGCAGGUGUGUAUUUAUUGAUUGAUUUUUGUUUUAUUUAUAAAUAUUUUAAUUAGAUUGGUAAAAGACCAAAGUACCCUUAUAUAAAUAGAUUUAACUGAAAUUUUUAACCUUGUUAAUGCUAAAGGACGAAAGAUGUAACGAGUUUUCUAAUUAAAGGACUGUGACUGUAAUUAUUGAAGUUAAAGGCUACCCAUUGCAACCCGCUACAAACAUAAAGGACGAAAAGUGUAAUUUACCCACCAUUUUAAAAACCAAAUGUUUCAUCUCCCCAUACAAAAAUCCUGACAUUACCAAAACCCCUUUUCAUUUUAAUUUUAAAUCAAAUGCUAGGACCACUCGGUAUGGCUUCGUCCUAGGGUCGGCGAGGGCCAGGGACGGGUCUGAACACCGCCCCCUAGGAACGGCCCCAUCGUCACCGUCAGCCCCUCGACGUUUAUGCCGGUCCUCUCUCUUCUUCUUUAUACACACACACACACACAUAUAUAUAGGGUCGGGAUUUAGAGAAAACAGUAGAAAGUGUGAGAACGGUGAGAACGCUUAUGGAUCGUCCGAUCAAAACAAUCUAUGGACUAGAUUGGCGCGGUGGCGUUUUCGUAAAUAACAUCAAUUUUAUUACUUGGACGCGCUUCACUAAGGGUAAAAGGGUCUUUCUACUUUUACACACAAAACGCCAUCUCAUGAAAUAAAACGCCAAAAACAAAAAUCACACACCAUUCUAAGUAAAAACGCCAUUAGAUAUAAAACGCCAAACUUAAUUAUAGUAAAAUCCCGCCUAAAAAAACCGUCAAAAAAAUCCUAUAUAUACAACAUCUCAGACCUCAAUUAAAAUCACACAAAAACCCAAACGCCAUAUUUAAUAUAUCUCAUUCGCCUUAGAAAUGCCAAAAAAACCCAAACAUCAAAUAUCUCUUCUAACCCAAAACAAACUCCCAAACUAUAUUAAAAUUACUUUUAAAAAGUAUUAUAAAAAACCCAAAAAAUAAAAAAAUAAAAAGCAAACUUGAAAAUGUAACUAGAAACAGUAUU
RNAcentral lists this long non-coding RNA (1850 nucleotides) under Helianthus annuus (common sunflower). Its description in RNAcentral is "hypothetical non coding rna". The record is from RNAcentral. Lineage: Eukaryota; Viridiplantae; Streptophyta; Magnoliopsida; Asterales; Asteraceae.